UACGGGGGGGGCAAGCGUUGUUCGGAAUUACUGGGCGUAAAGGGCUCGUAGGUGGCCAACUAAGUCAGACGUGAAAUCCCUCGGCUUAACCGAGGAACUGCGUCUGAUACUGGAUGGCUUGAGUUUGGGAGAGGAAUGCGGAAUUCCAGGUGUAGCGGUGAAAUGCGCAGAUAUCAGGAGGAACACCGGUGGCGAAGGCGGGUCUCUGGGCCGAUACUGACGCUGAGGAGCGAAAGCGUGGGGAGCGAACAGG
Molecule: ribosomal RNA, 253 nt
Filed under: uncultured bacterium
Lineage: Bacteria
Description: partial 16S ribosomal RNA
Rfam family: Bacterial small subunit ribosomal RNA
Source: RNAcentral